GUUGAGGGGAAUGGUGUCUGGUUCGAGACCAUUCAGUCUGAAGCAAAGAUCAUCCAUCACCUUGAGAAUACCUUGAGAAUGAUCUCGGACCAGGCUUCAUUCCCCCUAGC
RNAcentral lists this microRNA precursor (110 nucleotides) under Phaseolus vulgaris (common bean). RNAcentral's name for it is "pre miRNA mir-166". It matches the Rfam family "mir-166 microRNA precursor family". From Rfam's summary of the family: This family represents the plant microRNA (miRNA) precursor mir-166. Animal miRNAs are transcribed as ~70nt precursors and subsequently processed by the Dicer enzyme to give a ~22nt product. Lineage: Eukaryota; Viridiplantae; Streptophyta; Magnoliopsida; Fabales; Fabaceae. The record is from Rfam by way of RNAcentral.